This 505-nucleotide ribosomal RNA is filed under the name uncultured bacterium. RNAcentral's name for it is "partial 16S ribosomal RNA". It matches the Rfam family "Bacterial small subunit ribosomal RNA", at positions 28 to 507 of the family's 1533-position model. The record is from RNAcentral.
GACGAACGCUGGCGGCGUGCCUAAUACAUGCAAGUAGAACGCACAGUUUAUACCGUAGCUUGCUACACCAUAGACUGUGAGUUGCGAACGGGUGAGUAACGCGUAGGUAACCUGCCUGGUAGCGGGGGAUAACUAUUGGAAACGAUAGCUAAUACCGCAUAAUAUUGAUUAUUGCAUGAUAAUUGAUUGAAAGAUGCUAUUGCAUCACUACCAGAUGGACCUGCGUUGUAUUAGCUAGUAGGUGAGGUAACGGCUCACCUAGGCGACGAUACAUAGCCGACCUGAGAGGGGGGACGGCCCAACUGGGACUGAGACACGGCCCAGACUCCUACGGGGGGCAGCAGGAGGGAAACUUCGGCAAUGGACGAAAGGCUGACCGGGCAACGCCGCGUGAGUGAAGAAGGUUUUCGGAUCGUAAAGCUCUGUUGUAAGAGAAGAACGGGUGUGAGAGUGGAAAGUUCACACUGUGACGGUAUCUUACCAGAAAGGGACGGCUAACUACGUG